GACGAACGCUGGCGGCGUGCUUAACACAUGCAAGUCGAACGGAAAGGCCCUGCUUUUGUGGGGUGCUCGAGUGGCGAACGGGUGAGUAACACGUGAGUAACCUGCCCUUGACUUUGGGAUAACUUCAGGAAACUGGGGCUAAUACCGGAUAGGAGCUCCUGCUGCAUGGUGGGGGUUGGAAAGUUUCGGCGGUUGGGGAUGGACUCGCGGCUUAUCAGCUUGUUGGUGGGGUAGUGGCUUACCAAGGCUUUGACGGGUAGCCGGCCUGAGAGGGUGACCGGCCACAUUGGGACUGAGAUACGGCCCAGACUCCUACGGGAGGCAGCAGUGGGGAAUAUUGCACAAUGGGCGGAAGCCUGAUGCAGCAACGCCGCGUGCGGGAUGACGGCCUUCGGGUUGUAAACCGCUUUCGCCUGUGACGAAGCGUGAGUGACGGUAAUGGGUAAAGAAGCACCGGCUAACUACGUGCCAGCAGCCGCGGUGAUACGUAGGGUGCGAGCGUUGUCCGGAUUUAUUGGGCGUAAAGGGCUCGUAGGUGGUUGAUCGCGUCGGAAGUGUAAUCUUGGGGCUUAACCCUGAGCGUGCUUUCGAUACGGGUUGACUUGAGGAAGGUAGGGGAGAAUGGAAUUCCUGGUGGAGCGGUGGAAUGCGCAGAUAUCAGGAGGAACACCAGUGGCGAAGGCGGUUCUCUGGGCCUUUCCUGACGCUGAGGAGCGAAAGCGUGGGGAGCGAACAGGCUUAGAUACCCUGGUAGUCCACGCUGUAAACGGUGGGUACUAGGUGUGGGGUCCAUUCCACGGGUUCCGUGCCGUAGCUAACGCUUUAAGUACCCCGCCUGGGGAGUACGGCCGCAAGGCUAAAACUCAAAGGAAUUGACGGGGCCCCGCACAAGCGGCGGAGCAUGCGGAUUAAUUCGAUGCAACGCGUAGAACCUUACCUGGGUUUGACAUGGAUCGGGAGUGCUCAGAGAUGGGUGUGCCUCUUUUGGGGUCGGUUCACAGGUGGUGCAUGGCUGUCGUCAGCUCGUGUCGUGAGAUGUUGGGUUAAGUCCCGCAACGAGCGCAACCCUUGUUCACUGUUGCCAGCACGUUAUGGUGGGGACUCAGUGGAGACCGCCGGGGUCAACUCGGAGGAAGGUGGGGAUGACGUCAAGUCAUCAUGCCCCUUAUGUCCAGGGCUUCACGCAUGCUACAAUGGCUGGUACAGAGAGUGGCGAGCCUGUGAGGGUGAGCGAAUCUCGGAAAGUCGGUCUCAGUUCGGAUUGGGGUCUGCAACUCGACCUCAUGAAGUCGGAGUCGCUAGUAAUCGCAGAUCAGCAACGCUGCGGUGAAUACGUUCCCGGGGCC
RNAcentral lists this ribosomal RNA (1346 nucleotides) under uncultured bacterium. RNAcentral describes it as "partial 16S ribosomal RNA". It matches the Rfam family "Bacterial small subunit ribosomal RNA", at positions 28 to 1381 of the family's 1533-position model. The record is from RNAcentral.